This 406-nucleotide ribosomal RNA is filed under the name Staphylococcus aureus. RNAcentral's name for it is "partial 23S ribosomal RNA". It matches the Rfam family "Bacterial large subunit ribosomal RNA", at positions 1603 to 2010 of the family's 2925-position model. The record is from RNAcentral. Lineage: Bacteria; Bacillati; Bacillota; Bacilli; Caryophanales; Staphylococcaceae.
CACUGCCGAGAAAAGCCUCUAGAUAGAAAAUAGGUGCCCGUACCGCAAACCGACACAGGUAGUCAAGAUGAGAAUUCUAAGGUGAGCGAGCGAACUCUCGUUAAGGAACUCGGCAAAAUGACCCCGUAACUUCGGGAGAAGGGGUGCUCUUUAGGGUUAACGCCCAGAAGAGCCGCAGUGAAUAGGCCCAAGCGACUGUUUAUCAAAAACACAGGUCUCUGCUAAACCGUAAGGUGAUGUAUAGGGGCUGACGCCUGCCCGGUGCUGGAAGGUUAAGAGGAGUGGUUAGCUUCUGCGAAGCUACGAAUCGAAGCCCCAGUAAACGGCGGCCGUAACUAUAACGGUCCUAAGGUAGCGAAAUUCCUUGUCGGGUAAGUUCCGACCCGCACGAAAGGCGUAACGAUUU